GCGCAUCGACGCAGCAGAGCAUUUGCAAAACUCGCGGGAUUUCAGUUUCAGCAGCAGAAUGUGUUUACGAGGAGUCGAGGAGGCGGAGGUGAGGACGUGAGGUGAUCUCACAGUGCGGAGGUCGAGGCGAGCAUCUCACAGCGCUUCGGCAUCCCGCCGUGCGGGCGCGGGUGGACAACGAACGUCACUCGCGUCACGCGUUUCAGUCGCCAAAAACGGGAGGUUCGCGCUGGAACUUGCGCCCAGCUUCUUCCGCUCGUCCCUUCUACGACCGCACAGGCGCACAGCUGACAGGCCCCCCCUCGCGCACUCAUCGAAGGGAAUCUCGCGAGAGGCUUGCGCCGGUGCCGGUACGCUCUUCAGUCUUCACUCGGGCCCUCUGUUUAGUUGUCCGAUUUUGGACAACCAAAAUCACUGUAACAGCACUGUAGUAUACUGUAGCGUUUCGUUUGUAUUUAUAAAUUAUUGUUCAAACAUUAACUAAUUAGGCUCAAAAGAUUCGUCUCGCAAAGUACAACAAAACUGUGCAAUUAAUUU
Molecule: long non-coding RNA, 537 nt
Filed under: Setaria italica (foxtail millet)
Lineage: Eukaryota; Viridiplantae; Streptophyta; Magnoliopsida; Poales; Poaceae
Description: long non-coding RNA (SITA_LNC006714)
Source: RNAcentral